CAGUUAGUAAGUAGUGAAUCUGUUUUUGAAUAAAUGUGUAAAAUCUGUUUGUGUGAAUGUAUUUAUGAUGAAAUGAAUGGUUGUAUGAUAGUGAAUGUUAAGUGUAAAAGUAUUACUUGUUCAAGUUUUAGCUUUUUUGUUGAACAGGAAACCAAAAACAAAAAUUACCAAAAUAUUUAAGUGCUUAUUUGUUAAGUUUUGAUGCUUUUUAUAUGUUGGAUUCAUUAUUUUAUUAGGAUGACAAUUUUUUAACAAUUUCGCUGUUAAAUGUGACGAAAAAUUCAAAUUUACAACAAAGUACAAAAGAUCAAUAGGAUUAGGCCAUAAAAGGAAUGUGUUCUUUUUCUCUAACCAUACCUAUCCAGAAAAUAGCUGCCUACUCAACAUAUUUUAUUGUCUUAUGUACAUUUUUUUUAAUCAGAUAUGCAUGAAGAGUAAAAAACAUCCGACACUUUGGUUUCUCUUUACUGAAAAAAAAUGCCAGCCUACCUGCCCAUUGUUCUUACCUUUGGGUAUGGUGUCGGCAAACAAAAAUAUUUUUAAGUGUGGCCUAAGUCAUUCAGACUUUGCCAAAACCAUGAAAUCAAAUAUUCAUGAAAAUACAGUUUCUCCUCAAUCAACAAAAUAUAUCCAUUAAAGUAAAUGAAUCCACAAUUAAAAGUUUAUUAUUAUUUCAAUGUUUACUCUUGUUAUUUUCUCUUUGUUGAUUACUUCUAAAUCUUUGUUUCUUUAAUGACUCUUUUAUCAAAAUAUUCUAUGUGUUCCUCACCCUAGGUCCUUAAAGUCCUGUGGUACACUGGUGCUAUAUUUUCUUCCAUGUUGUUACCUUGAAUAAUUUUAUUAUAGAAUGUAUAGGGGCC
Molecule: long non-coding RNA, 860 nt
Filed under: Mytilus galloprovincialis (Mediterranean mussel)
Lineage: Eukaryota; Metazoa; Mollusca; Bivalvia; Mytilida; Mytilidae
Source: RNAcentral